UGGGGAAUCUUGCACAAUGGGCGAAAGCCUGAUGCAGCAACGCCGCGUGCGGGAAGACGGCCCUAGGGUUGUAAACCGCUUUCAGCAGGGAAGAAACUGACGGUACCUGCAGAAGAAGAUGCGGCCAACUACGUGCCAGCAGCCGCGGUGACACGUAGGCAUCAAGCGUUAUCCGGAUUUAUUGGGCGUAAAGAGCUCGUAGGCGGUUCGGUAAGUCGGGUGUGAAAACUCUGGGCUCAACCCAGAGACGCCACCCGAUACUGCUGUGACUAGAGUGCGGUAGGGGAGUGGGGAACUCCUGGUGUAGCGGUGAAAUGCGCAGAUAUCAGGAAGAACACCAGUGGCGAAGGCGCCACUCUGGGCCAUUACUGACGCUCAUGGACGAAAGCCAGGGGAGCGAAAGGG
Molecule: ribosomal RNA, 405 nt
Filed under: uncultured bacterium
Lineage: Bacteria
Description: bacterial SSU rRNA
Rfam family: Bacterial small subunit ribosomal RNA
Source: RNAcentral